UCCCGUGUGGCUCAGUUGGUAGAGCAUGGUGUUUGCAACGCCAGGGUUGUGGGUUCGUUUCCGACGGGGGAC
This 72-nucleotide transfer RNA is filed under the name Salmo salar (Atlantic salmon). It matches the Rfam family "tRNA". Rfam says of the family: Transfer RNA (tRNA) molecules are approximately 80 nucleotides in length. The record is from Rfam by way of RNAcentral. Lineage: Eukaryota; Metazoa; Chordata; Actinopteri; Salmoniformes; Salmonidae.